UUUAUCCUUUUCUAAACAAAACUUUUUUUGAUGAAUUUGAAUUUAAAUCAAACAAUAUUUUCUGUUAUAUUAUAAUGAAAGUCAAUUUUAUCUGUAUUUUAUGUACGAUAAAAUUGGUAUGUUCGAAAUUCACUGCAUGUAUAUGUCGUUGUUAUCUUCUGAAUUUGAAAACAAGAAGCUCACAAUUUUUUGUCACAAUAUGUAUCGUACUUUUUUACAUAAAGGCGAGACAUAUUUCUGUGGCAACAGGUUUUAUUAAUCUCUUUGUAAAAACUUUAUGGUGAAAUAUUUGAAUUUAAAACGAUAAAUAUUUUACUGUUAUAUUCCAACGUGUUUAACGAAAGUCAAUAUUAUCUAUUGUAUUGUGUAAUUUUAUGUACGACGAAACUCACUGCAUGUUGAUCUUACGUGAACCAAUACACAUGGUUUACGCUUCCAUUUAUUGAUAAGAUUGUAUGUUGAUGUUUAAUAUAAUCUUUGUGUGAUAAUUAUACUCAAACUCUUCCAAAACACUUUCUACAUCUAUGUCUCAAACAUCUCAGUACACCAAUUAUCUUUCUGUAUCUCCUGUGCAGAAGCUAAAUGAAAACCCUCAAACAAAAUAAUCUAUUUGCUUUAGAGAUGAACACGUGCAAAAUGCAAAAUUUGAAGUCAAAAUUUUGGAACACUAAACGUGCGCAUAACAGAGCAUUCAUUUUACAUACAAACUAAAACGUUUUAAUUAUACAGGUAAUUAGUUCGUAAUAGUUUAUUUGGUAAAACAAAUAACAUUUCUUAAUAGUAAAAUGACAAGUCGUGUCCACAGUAGCGCAUAUGUUGUGAAGGCCUACAUGUAUUCAUUUUUUUGAAAAACAGUAUAAUAAAAAGAAUAAUAUGUAGGUUUAUUCCGCGACAAUGAUGAUCAUGUUUAUGUUGUAUCUUACAGUUGGUUACAAAUUCAAGGACAAGGAAACUAUUUCGACUGUGAAAACUGUGAAUGUCAAAGGUGGUUUUCGUGCAUGGAAGAGAAGUAACAGAACACUUACUGUACAAAGCAAAAAUACCAUUGUAGAGAUAUUAAUUCAAUAAAUUAUCUAUUUUGACUAUAAAUAAAUGCUGAUCAUAUAGACCUCAUUUAAAUUAUUUUUAGUAUAGUUUUGUAUAAUGCAUUAAAUUGGACUUUAGCAGUCUCGAUCGGUUAUACAUUCUUUCUUUUAAAAUCAUGUAAAAAAUGUAAUAGUUAAUUUGAACUUAUAAAUAAUACAAAUCUACUGAAUUAAACAAAUAUAGAGAGUGUGGAUGUUUAUUAAAGUAUA
Long non-coding RNA from Mytilus californianus (California mussel), 1295 nucleotides. RefSeq lists it as uncharacterized. The record is from RefSeq and is a predicted model, not a curated record. The transcript is spliced from 3 exons. NCBI's taxonomy places the organism in Eukaryota, Metazoa, Mollusca, Bivalvia, Mytilida, Mytilidae.